GACGAACGCUGGCGGCGUGCUUAACACAUGCAAGUCGAACGGUAAGGCCCUUCGGGGUACACGAGUGGCGAACGGGUGAGUAACACGUGGGUGAUCUGCCCUGCACUUCGGGAUUAGCCUGGGAAACUGGGUCUAAUACCAGAUAGGACCACUGCCUGCAUGGGUGGUGGUGGAAAGCUUUUGCGGUGUGGGAUGGGCCCGCGGCCUAUCAGCUUGUUGGUGGGGUGAUGGCCUACCAAGGCGACGACGGGUAGCCGGCCGGAGAGGGUGACCGGCAACACUGGGACUGAGAUACGGCCCAGACUCCUACGGGAGGCAGCAAUGGGGAAUAUUGCACAAUGGGCGCAAGCCUGAUGCGGCGACGCCGCGUGAGGGAUGACGGCCUUCGGGUUGUAAACCUCUUUCAGCACCGACGAAGCGCAAGUGACGGUAGGUGCAGAAGAAGGACCGGCCAACUACGUGCCAGCCGCCGCAGUAA
RNAcentral lists this ribosomal RNA (478 nucleotides) under uncultured bacterium. RNAcentral's name for it is "partial 16S ribosomal RNA". It matches the Rfam family "Bacterial small subunit ribosomal RNA", at positions 28 to 523 of the family's 1533-position model. The record is from RNAcentral.